GAGCUACGGCGGGGUGGGGGGGUGGGCAGGGCCAGGGAGCUGCAGGGCUUUGUCUGGGCUGUUAGUGGAGGACUGACCUCAGGCUUGGGGUCCCCGCCCAGAACAUGGACCCAGGGGACAGACUGACUGCUGACCGUCAUCCCACACUGCAGGAGCGGGGCCGCCUCCAGGUGAGCAUGGAAAAGCGAGGGCAUGUCCCUGGCCUGCAGCGCCAGAUCACGCCCACAAGAGAUGGAACCGCCCACUCACUCAUUUUCCAUCAGGAUGUAGCCAUACUCCUCCUCGGGGGGCUGGACUUGCAGCCGCUCCUUGGAGUAGGUCUGGCUCCGCACGUUCUCCACGCCCGCGUGCUCCUCCUCCGAAGACAGGGAGGCCUCGGCGUCAUCCCCCUUCUUGCUCUCCGUCUUGAAGGGCUCUGUGAGAUGGGGGGCUGCAGGCAGGAACGGAGACCCAGGGCCCUGCAGGAGGUCCCCCAGUUGGACACCCAGACGGUUCACCUCCCUCGUCGCUGUCUCGCAGUCUGCUCUCUGGCACGCGGUCUCUGUGCAGCGCGGCCCCUGCACCGUUCACCUCCGCUCCGCGUCUGCCAGCUCUCCCGGCCGCGCCCGGCGCCCCAGCCACACCCCCACUCGGCACCGCGAUCGCAAGGGCGCGGACCACCUCAUCUACGUCCAGGGCACUCAGACCGUCCACGCCGGCCGGGCGCUUCUGCAGGUCCUUCAGCAGCAUCUGAACACGAGCUUCUAAACAGACACGCAAAAGGGAGACACACAGAGGCAAGGGCAGCGUUAGGACAAGGAGGCGAGGCCGGCGGAGGAGCAGGCGGGUGGACGAUGCGCACAGCCAUGGAGUGGGAGCAGGGACCCCCAAGCGGAAGUUCUGUGGGGGCGGAGCAGGGCGUCUGAAGCCUAGAGCUCCCUGGACAGGCCGCCGGCAGACUGAUGGGGAACAAGGGCCAGUGAGUCUGUGGCAGACCGCAGGAAGGACCGGGAUCAGCAGGACAGAGAGAACCCUGGCGCCUGGGCACGGCAGUGGGUAGCAGAGGUGAGACAGGACCUGAGAGGGAGGGGCAGAGGAAGGGAAACCCCACAAACCCCCAGGACCAGCGACCAGCACCAACCCCACACACCCCCAGGACCAGCACCAACCCCACACACCCCCAGGACCAACGACCAGCAUCAAGUCCGAGGCUCAAGGCCCUCAGUCAGCUCCAGGAAGAGGAACAAAGAGCAGCACACGGCCAGGCUCCCCCCAGAAAACCAGGUGGACGAGACGUUACACCGCCCAGGGGCCAGGACAUGUCCCUGCCCUGGAAGCAGGACACACGUGACCGGACGCACACUUACACACGCGUAACUGUGACACAUGUGAC
RNAcentral lists this long non-coding RNA (1372 nucleotides) under Bos indicus x Bos taurus (hybrid cattle). RNAcentral's name for it is "lncRNA (ENSBIXG00000024544.1)". The record is from RNAcentral. Lineage: Eukaryota; Metazoa; Chordata; Mammalia; Artiodactyla; Bovidae.